AAAACGGUGUCGUUUCGGCAGAAGGAAGAAUUCAAAAGGUCGACGCCAAAACGACGUCGUUUGAGGGAGCCCCCAGAGCCCCAAAACGGUGCGUUCAGGAGAGGGCCAAGCGGACCAAGGAAGCGGGCCAGGCAGACCUCCGCGCAGCCCAGACAACUUGGGCCAUCCUUCCGGCCCAAGCAAGGUGAGGCCUUACCCAUUUCUUGUGGAUUUGGGCCUAUCUAGUUUAUUUUAAUUGUUUGCUUAGCUUUAAUAAAGAUAUGUAAAUAAUAAAAAAUAUUAAUAUUAUAAAUAUAUUUG
This 300-nucleotide long non-coding RNA is filed under the name Theobroma cacao (cacao). RNAcentral's name for it is "long non-coding RNA (TCAC_LNC004032)". The record is from RNAcentral. Lineage: Eukaryota; Viridiplantae; Streptophyta; Magnoliopsida; Malvales; Malvaceae.